AAGUAAAAUACUUACCUUAAAUCCAGAAUUAAUCUUGAAGGAAGUUCAUAGAACGGUUAACAAUCAUUAUGCUCAAUAUUAUGUAAAAAUUGAGCAUCGUGCAUGUAUCCAAAGCUAUAUUUUGAAAAUUUGCGUGGGCCCCUCUUAUGGAGAUAAGCGUAAUAUUCUUCAUGAACAUCCUCCUAAAUUUAAGACUGACAUUCCAAGCCAUAAUUCUCGAUUGCUGCAAAUUUUCACCGUACAAUGAAAGAGAUUCUCCAAAAUUACAAACCCAAAGCGAUUACAGACAAGAACUUCACCAAACCCGGCAACCUCGAAUCAGCAGGGAUUUAAAGAUGUAGAGGAUUAUUCUGUCCGUUUGCCAUGUGAUUGCUAGGACGUAAAAACAAAUUCACUACUGAGAGUAGUCUUGUCUCUCAAGUCCAAUUUCAUACAUAAUUAGUUUCCAAAAAAAGAUGAACAAGAAGGAACAAAGCUGUCGGAUAAACUAAAACCGACCACCGGCAUCUUCUUUCGCUGGAGAAGCUCCAGAACCGGCGCGGAGGGA
RNAcentral lists this long non-coding RNA (547 nucleotides) under Nicotiana benthamiana. RNAcentral's name for it is "long non-coding RNA (NBEN_LNC038887)". The record is from RNAcentral. Lineage: Eukaryota; Viridiplantae; Streptophyta; Magnoliopsida; Solanales; Solanaceae.